CCUACGGGUGGCUGCAGUGGGGAAUAUUGGGCAAUGGGCGCAAGCCUGACCCAGCAACGCCGCGUGAAGGAAGAAGGCUUUCGGGUUGGUAACUUCUUUUCUCAUGGACGAAGCAAGUGACGGUACCUGAGGAAUGAGCCACGGCUAACUACGUGCCAGCAGCCGCGGUAAUCCGUAGGUGGCAAGCGUUAUCCGGAUUUACUGGGUGUAAAGGGCGUGUAGGCGGGACUGCAAGUCAGAUGUGAAAACCAUGGGCUCAACCUAUGGCCUGCAUUUGAAACUGUAGUUCUUGAGUACUGGAGAGGCAGACGGAAUUCCUAGUGUAGCGGUGAAAUGCGUAGAUAUUAGGAGGAACACCAGUGGCGAAGGCAGUCUGCUGGACAGCAACUGACGCUGAGGCGCGAAAGCGUGGGGAGCAAACAGGAUUAGAUACCCCUGUAGUC
This 443-nucleotide ribosomal RNA is filed under the name uncultured bacterium. RNAcentral describes it as "partial 16S ribosomal RNA". It matches the Rfam family "Bacterial small subunit ribosomal RNA", at positions 338 to 795 of the family's 1533-position model. The record is from RNAcentral.